Molecule: ribosomal RNA, 253 nt
Filed under: uncultured bacterium
Lineage: Bacteria
Description: partial 16S ribosomal RNA
Rfam family: Bacterial small subunit ribosomal RNA
Source: RNAcentral
UACGAAGGGGGCUAGCGUUGCUCGGAAUCACUGGGCGUAAAGCGCACGUAGGCGGCAUGGUAAGUUGCAUGUAAAAGGCGGCAGCUCAACUGCCGAGUGUGGUGCAAGACUGCCAGGCUUGAGGCAAGUAAAAGAAUGUGGAACUCCGAGUGUAGCGGUGGAAUGCGUAGAGAUUCGGAAGAACACCCAUGGCGAAGGCAGCAUUCUGGACUUGACCUGACGCUGAGGAGCGAAAGCCAGGGGAGCAAACGGG